Molecule: ribosomal RNA, 468 nt
Filed under: uncultured bacterium
Lineage: Bacteria
Description: partial 16S ribosomal RNA
Rfam family: Bacterial small subunit ribosomal RNA
Source: RNAcentral
GACGAACGCUGGCGGCGUGCUUAACACAUGCAGGUCGAACGGAAAGGCCCUGCUUUUGUGGGGUGCUCGAGUGGCGAACGGGUGAGUAACACGUGAGUAACCUGCCCUUGACUUUGGGAUAACUUCAGGAAACUGGGGCUAAUACCGGAUAGGAGCUCCUGCUGCAUGGUGGGGGUUGGAAAGUUUCGGCGGUUGGGGAUGGACUCGCGGCUUAUCAGCUUGUUGGUGGAGUAGUGGCUUACCAAGGCUUUGACGGGUAGCCGGCCUGAGAGGGUGACCGGCCACAUUGGGACUGAGAUACGGCCCAGACUCCUACGGGAGGCAGCAGUGGGGAAUAUUGCACAAUGGGCGGAAGCCUGAUGCAGCAACGCCGCGUGCGGGAUGACGGCCUUCGGGUUGUAAACCGCUUUCGCCUGUGACGAAGCGUGAGUGACGGUAAUGGGUAAAGAAGCACCGGCUAACUACGUG